GACGAACGCUGGCGGCGUGCCUAAUACAUGCAAGUUGAGCGAUGAAGAUUGGUGCUUGCACCAAUUUGAAGAGCAGCGAACGGGUGAGUAACGCGUGGGGAAUCUGCCUUUGAGCGGGGGACAACAUUUGGAAACGAAUGCUAAUACCGCAUAACAACUUUAAACAUAAGUUUUAAGUUUGAAAGAUGCAAUUGCAUCACUCAAAGAUGAUCCCGCGUUGUAUUAGCUAGUUGGUGAGGUAAAGGCUCACCAAGGCGAUGAUACAUAGCCGACCUGAGAGGGUGAUCGGCCACAUUGGGACUGAGACACGGCCCAAACUCCUACGGGAGGCAGCAGUAGGGAAUCUUCGGCAAUGGACGAAAGUCUGACCGAGCAACGCCGCGUGAGUGAAGAAGGUUUUCGGAUCGUAAAACUCUGUUGGUAGAGAAGAACGUUUGUGAGAGUGGAAAGCUCAUCAAGUGACGGUAACUACCCAGAAAGGGACGGCUAACUACGUG
RNAcentral lists this ribosomal RNA (497 nucleotides) under uncultured bacterium. RNAcentral describes it as "partial 16S ribosomal RNA". It matches the Rfam family "Bacterial small subunit ribosomal RNA", at positions 28 to 507 of the family's 1533-position model. The record is from RNAcentral.